This 272-nucleotide ribosomal RNA is filed under the name uncultured bacterium. RNAcentral's name for it is "partial 16S ribosomal RNA". It matches the Rfam family "Bacterial small subunit ribosomal RNA", at positions 83 to 353 of the family's 1533-position model. The record is from RNAcentral.
GUUUGAUGGCGACCGGCGCACGGGUGAGUAACACGUAUCCAACCUGCCGAUGACUCGGGGAUAGCCUUUCGAAAGAAAGAUUAAUACCCGAUGGCAUAGUUCUUCCGCAUGGUAGAACUAUUAAAGAAUUUCGGUCAUCGAUGGGGAGUGCGUUCCAUUAGGUUGUUGGCGGGGUAACGGCCCACCAAGCCUUCGAUGGAUAGGGGUUCUGAGAGGAAGGUCCCCCACAUUGGAACUGAGACACGGUCCAAACUCCUACGGGAGGCAGCAUG